Molecule: ribosomal RNA, 441 nt
Filed under: uncultured bacterium
Lineage: Bacteria
Description: partial 16S ribosomal RNA
Rfam family: Bacterial small subunit ribosomal RNA
Source: RNAcentral
CCUACGGGGGGCAGCAGUGGGGAAUAUUGCACAAUGGGGGAAACCCUGAUGCAGCGACGCCGCGUGAGUGAAGAAGUAUUUCGGUAUGUAAAGCUCUAUCAGCAGGGGAGAAAAAAGACGGUACCUGACUAAGAAGCCCCGACUAACUACGUGCCAGCAGCCGCGGUAAUACGUAGGGGGCAAGCGUUAUCCGGAUUUACUGGGUGUAAAGGGAGCGUAGACGGGUGUGCAAGUCUGAAGUGAAAGCUCAGGGCUCAACCCUGGGAUUGCUUUGGAAACUGGGGAGCUAGAGUACAGGGGAGGUAGGUGGAAUUCGUGGUGUAGCGGUGAAAUGCUUAGAUAUUAGGAGGAACUCCAGUUGCGAAGGCAGCUUACUAGACAGCAACUGACGUUGAGGCUCGAAAGCGUGGGGAGCAAACAGGAUUAGAUACCCCUGUAGUC